UACGAAGGGGGCUAGCGUUGUUCGGAUUUACUGGGCGUAAAGCGCACGUAGGCGGAUCGUUAAGUCGGGGGUGAAAUCCUGGAGCUCAACUCCAGAACUGCCUUCGAUACUGGCGAUCUUGAGUCCGGAAGAGGUGAGUGGAACUCCUAGUGUAGAGGUGGAAUUCGUAGAUAUUAGGAAGAACACCAGUGGCGAAGGCGGCUCACUGGUCCGGUACUGACGCUGAGGUGCGAAAGCGUGGGGAGCGAACCGG
Molecule: ribosomal RNA, 253 nt
Filed under: uncultured bacterium
Lineage: Bacteria
Description: partial 16S ribosomal RNA
Rfam family: Bacterial small subunit ribosomal RNA
Source: RNAcentral